CCUACGGGAGGCUGCAGUGGGGAAUAUUGGACAAUGGGGGGAACCCUGAUCCAGCGACGCCGCGUGAGUGAAGAAGUAUCUCGGUAUGUAAAGCUCUAUCAGCAGGGAAGAAAAUGACGGUACCUGACUAAGAAGCACCGGCUAACCACGUGCCAGCAGCCGCGGUUCUACGGGGGGGGCAAACGUUAUCCGGAUUUACUGGGUGUAAAGGGAUGGUAGAGGGUGCAGCAAGUCUGAUGGGAAAGGUCGGGGCCCAACCCCGGGACUGCAUUGGAAACUGUUUAACUGGAGUACAGGAGAGGUAAGCGGAAUGCGUGGUGUAGCGGUGAAAUGCGUAGAUAUUAGGAGGAACACCGGUGGCGAAGGCGGCUUACCGGACUGUAACUGACGUUGAGGCUCGAAAGCGUGGGGAGCAAACAGGAUUAGAUACCCGAGUAGUC
RNAcentral lists this ribosomal RNA (440 nucleotides) under uncultured bacterium. RNAcentral describes it as "partial 16S ribosomal RNA". It matches the Rfam family "Bacterial small subunit ribosomal RNA", at positions 338 to 795 of the family's 1533-position model. The record is from RNAcentral.